GGAACUUAACUAGUGCUGAAAAAGUCUCACAGCAUAUAGGCUUAUGCAUAAAAUCAGCCCAUGAUCUCUUACCUAUCCCUUCAGUCCCCCAAAAUCUUCAACAAAGUAUAUGCUUUCUUUACAUGCCCAAGUCCAUGACCCACCAUCUGUAGGGUAGAACCUGUCUGCCUGUCUGUUUAUCUAAGCAUUUAGAUACUAUUUAGCAUUUAGAUGGGCACACUAAUAUGGGCCUGUCACAGAGACCAGAUCUGGAAAAUGUCAUCUGGGUAGUGAGGGCCAUAACAUAACAGUGAUGUGUGCAGUUUUUUGAGGGUGUUGUUAGCACUCUGCAUGGGGUUAGCACUAGUGGGCUGGGGUAGAAGGUUUUUGCAAGAAGCCUUCUGAGUUGGGUGACCAAACUCAUCCUGAGUUUUGUUUGAAAUUUUCCUGAUUUUAAAACUGAAAGUCCUAUGCCCUGGGAACCCCUUUCAAUGUCAGGCAAACUAGGACAGUUGGUCACACCAGAAGCAGGAGUGGGAUAGUAGAAUGGAGAGUUAGUGAUCGACAUACAAUCACGAUGCACAAUUUACUCAAGCAGGGAAAAAGUCCUUAGCUGUUUAUGAAACUACUGUUCAGAAAGUUUCCACCCUGUGGUUUUGCUAGUAUGUACCCUUUUUCUGGGAAAGUGCACAUUUUGAUGUCUCAGGAUGAGAUUGCAGUGUGUUCUUGAGAUUAUUUUGGAGCACAUGUUAUGUUGGAAUUCAUAGAAUGAGGAAUUUUUAAAGGAAAUAAUUAAUACAUUUUGAAGUUGUGCUUUUCCUUUAAUUAAAAAAAAAUCUGCAAGCAUUAAACAAACCAGUUCCCCAAAGGAUAAUCCAGUAAUAAGCUUUAAAAAUGUGCCCUGACCGAAAUAUUCUACAGCUUCAGUGACCUGCAGAGUUUUGAAGGAAAGUUCAUUUCUCAGUAGAGAUGGAGCCACUGAGUCUCUUUUAACUAUGACUCAUUUACUUUUCUAUAUUUCAUUUAGCGUUCCUUCCUCUUUUUGUUUUGAGGAGAAUCUCUCUUGAGUUUGGGCUUUUCCUUUACAAACAUUGCUGUCUUCAAGAGGGACAGUGGCAGCAGCAGGCCUUGGUAGAUGGGCUUUGCAGAAGCAAUGGUGUGAUUUCAAUAUAUUAGACUAGUGCUCUGAAUGGAGCUAUAAUAUGUGCAUUUAAAAAUGAUGUUAAAGCUAGGUAAGGAAGUGCAUGCCUGUAAUCCCAGUGGCUCUGGUGGCUGAGGCAGGAGAAUCACGAGUUCAAAGCCAGCCUCAGCAAAAAUGAGGCACUAAACAACUCAGUGAGACCCUGUCUCUAAAUAAAAUACAAAAGAGGGUUAGGGAUGUGGCUCAGUGGUCAAGUGCCUCUGAAUUCAAUCCCCGGUACCUACCUCCCCAAAAUGAUGUUGAAGUGCUGAGGACGAUGGCGCAUGCCUUAAUUCCAGUUUACUCAGGAGGCUAAGGCAGGAGGAUUGCAAGUUCUAGGCCAGCCUCAGCAACUUUGUGAGAUCCUGUCUCAAAAUAAAAAAUAAAAAGGACCUGAGAUGUAACUCAGUGAUAGAGUGACACUGGGUUCAAUACCUAGUACCGGGGGAAAAAAAUUGUUGAAGUGUUAUACUUCAACAAUUAUACUGCAGAUUAUACUUAUACUGCAGAUAUAGUAAAUGACU
Molecule: long non-coding RNA, 1683 nt
Filed under: Marmota monax (woodchuck)
Lineage: Eukaryota; Metazoa; Chordata; Mammalia; Rodentia; Sciuridae
Source: RNAcentral